Molecule: ribosomal RNA, 736 nt
Filed under: uncultured bacterium
Lineage: Bacteria
Description: bacterial SSU rRNA
Rfam family: Bacterial small subunit ribosomal RNA
Source: RNAcentral
AGAGUUGAUCCUGGCUCAGAUUGAACGCUGGCGGCAGGCCUAACACAUGCAAGUCGAGCGGAUGAAGAGAGCUUGCUCUCUGAUUCAGCGGCGGACGGGUGAGUAAUGCCUAGGAAUCUGCCUAUUAGUGGGGGACAACGUUUCGAAAGGAACGCUAAUACCGCAUACGUCCUACGGGAGAAAGCAGGGGACCUUCGGGCCUUGCGCUAAUAGAUGAGCCUAGGUCGGAUUAGCUAGUUGGUGAGGUAAAGGCUCACCAAGGCGACGAUCCGUAACUGGUCUGAGAGGAUGAUCAGUCACACCGGAACUGAGACACGGUCCAGACUCCUACGGGAGGCAGCAGUGGGGAAUAUUGGRCAAUGGGCGARAGCCUGSAUCCAGCCAUGCCGCGUGUGUGAAGAAGGUCUUCGGAUUGUGAAGCACUUURAGYYGGGAGGAAGGGCAGUAAGUUAAUACCUUGCUGUUUUGACGUUACCGACAGAAUAAGCACCGGCUAACUUCGUGCCAGCAGCCGCGGUAAUACGAAGGUGCAAGCGUUAAUCGGDAUUACUGGGCGUAAAGCGCGCGUAAGUGGUUCGUURAGUUGGAUGUGAAGCCCCCGGGGCUCAACCUGGGSAGUGCAUCCAAAACUGGCGAGCUAGAGUAUGGCAGAGGGUGGUGGAAUUUCCUGUGUARCGGUGAAAUGCGUAGAUAUAGGAAGGGACACCAGUGGCGAAGGGGRACGCCUGGGCUAGAG